UAAUUUUCCUCUUCCUCUCGCACCCGGGAUUGAGGUUUUUUCAAUGGAUUUAUCUUUCUGCGUGCAGUUUGUAGUGCCAUCCGGUGGUCUUCAAGCCUUCCGAUAUGAUUUUGUUGCUGGCGAAGAAGAUCGAGCGACCGCAAGAUCUGUGUCACGGCAAAUGUUUUUUAAGUCAAGGUACUGUCUUUGUUAUCCCCCCAGGCCCCCUGUGAUUCAUUAUGAAUGCCUCUUUUUUAAACCGCUAGUAUGGGUAUGGGAUAUUGUAUGUGAUAGUAGUGAUUGCUGAAGAAUAUGUAAAUUUAAUGACAAUUACAUCGCAAUUGCUAGUGGUAUGAUGUUAUGCUGGAGUAGAUGUAAUGUUCAAUUGAUUAUUGCGUUGUAAUAUACUGUCAAUGUAAUCACCAAUAAUUUCUUCGUUCACAUAAAUUAAUUAUUA
Long non-coding RNA from Musa acuminata AAA Group (dessert banana), 436 nucleotides. RefSeq lists it as uncharacterized. The transcript has 2 exons. The record is from RefSeq and is a predicted model, not a curated record. Lineage: Eukaryota; Viridiplantae; Streptophyta; Magnoliopsida; Zingiberales; Musaceae.